CUAGUAUCGCGAGAUCAGGAAGGUGGCCGAGUGUGUCGCCGCGGCCAUCAGGCACUUCUCCUUCCUGCCCUUGUAUGAAGAAGGAUGUGUUUGCUUCCCCUUGUGCCAUGAUUGUAAAUUUCCUGAGGCCUCCUCAGCCCUGCAGAACUGGGGUUAUAGCCAUGUGACUGAUCUUCGUCCAAGAAUAUGUAAAGAAAAAGUGUUGAGUUGGCUUUUAGGGCUAGAGCAAUGUAUCUUAGGCUCACUUAAGGAAGCUGUAGAGAUGAGCCCAAGGAGGGAAACCAGAAGAGCCCCCCAGGCUCACCAGUUGUUUGUUGGCUCCCUACAAACAUGUCAUUCAAGUGGCUAAUCUUACAACAGCACAAAUUCAUCUAACCAGAAAGAGAAGAGGAGGCUCCAAAGGCACUUGACUACUGAGCAUCACCCUGGACGUGUACAAGUCUGCGUCCUUAUUGUUUUCUUCAUUGGGCCGAACUUUCUGGUCCUCAUCCAACAGCUCUUCUAUCACGUGUUCGAAAGUGUCAGCCAAUGAUGUCAAGCCUCUUGAACCUGCCUUGGGCCCAUUCACGCUCUCCAGAGUCCCAUGGGUCCGCACACCUGGGUAGGCCAAGCCACCUUGUCCUCGGAUGUUUGCUUCUUUCAUGGGGGCAGCCUUCAUGCAACCAAAGUAUGAAAUAACCAUAGUAAGGAAAAGGAUGGUCAUCACUCUUCUCACCUGGUGGAACUGUAGGGAGAAAGCAGAAACAAGACAGAAAACUGAGAUACUCUAUUAUAGCAAAGAAGAAAGAUAAUUUCAUUGAGCCAUCCUGUUUUACAGGAAAUUCUGCAAGUGGCAACGUGGGUCCAUUCCGUGUGUGUCACUAGAGCUGGCGCAAGCCCAUGGCCAUGGUGAGGCAGCGUUUCCACUGGAACUAAUCUGAUACCUGCACCAGCUCUUGCAACUGUGCAGUGUUCCCACUGCAAACUACGGAUGGGGUAAAAGACUGCUCACCUCCUAUUUCUCAUCUAAUCUCACACACUCUGUUUGAUGAGGCUAUGGAGAAACAGGUCUUCUCAUACACUAAAGGUGGGAGUACAAACAAUUCAAGCCCUGUGCAGGACAAUUAGGCAAUACCUAUCAAAAUUAUACAUGAUUUUUCCUGCUGACCCAGCAAUUCCACUUCUGGGAAUAAUUGACAGAUAUAGGUGCAUAUGUACAAAAUGAUGGAAAGCUCUCUGGUAUAUAUUAGUAAGUGAUAAAACAAGGUGUAAAAUAGUGUAUAUAUGGCUACUACCUUUUGUUUUAAAAAUGGGGGAAAAUGGUGGAGCUUGCGGUGAGCCGAGAUCGUGCCACUGCACUCCAGCCUGGGCGACAGAGCGAGACUCCGUCUCAAAAAAAAAACAGGGUGGGGUGGGGGGGAAAUAAUAGUACAUACUCAUAUUUACCUGUAUCUAUAUAAAACACACUAUCAAGGAUUCACAAGAAACUAAUACAAAUGAUCACCUUAUAGAUGGUAUGUAUUGGGGGAUACUGAGGUGAGCAGGGUAUAAGUGGGGCAAGACUUUUCAGUGUAAACUUCUUUUAAAUUUUAUUUUGAUUUUUGAAUAAUGUAAAUUAACUGUCAAAUAAUUAAAUUAAAAAUAACCAAUUUAUUAACAAAA
Long non-coding RNA from Homo sapiens (human), 1641 nucleotides. Ensembl annotates it as BDNF antisense RNA. Its record names the gene BDNF-AS. The record is from Ensembl. Lineage: Eukaryota; Metazoa; Chordata; Mammalia; Primates; Hominidae.